Molecule: unclassified non-coding RNA, 282 nt
Organism: Otolemur garnettii (small-eared galago)
Lineage: Eukaryota; Metazoa; Chordata; Mammalia; Primates; Galagidae
Rfam family: Metazoan signal recognition particle RNA
About the family: The signal recognition particle (SRP) is a universally conserved ribonucleoprotein. It is involved in the co-translational targeting of proteins to membranes.
Source: Ensembl
GAUUAGAAAUGUUUCAUUGUGUCUGACACAGUGGCUGAGACAGAAGGAUCACUUGAGUCCAGUUCUGGGCUGUAGUGUGCUAUGCCAAUGGGUGUCUGCACUAAAUUCAGCAUCAAUAUGGUGACCUCUCUGGAGCCGGGGGCCACCAGGUUGCCUAAGGAGGGGUGAACCAGCCCAGGUUGGAAAUGGAACAGAUCAAAACUCCAUUGCAAAUUAGUAGUGGGAUUGCACCUGUGAAUAGCCACUGCACUCCAGCCUGGGCAACAUAGCGAGACCCUGUCU